GACGAACGCUGGCGGCGUGCUUAACACAUGCAAGUCGAACGAUGAAGCCGGAGCUUGCUCUGGUGAAUUAGUGGCGAACGGGUGAGUAACACGUGAGUAACCUGCCCUUGACUCUGGGGUAACUGAGGGAAACUGUAGCUAAUACCGGAUACGACCCUCGGAGGCAUCUCCUGGGGGUGGAAAGAAUUUCGGUCAAGGAUGGACUCGGGGCCUAUCAGCUAGUUGGUGAGGUAAAGGCUCACCAAGGCGACGACGGGUAGCCGGCCUGAGAGGGUGACCGGCCACACUGGGACUGAGACACGGCCCAGACUCCUACGGGAGGCAGCAGUGGGAAUAUUGCACAAUGGGCGCAAGCCUGAUGCAGCAACGCCGCGUGAGGGAUGACGGCCUUCGGGUUGUAAACCUCUUUUAGCAGGGAAGAAGCGAAAGUGACGGUACCUGCAGAAAAAGCACCGGCUAACUACGUGCCAGCCGCCGCGGUAA
This 483-nucleotide ribosomal RNA is filed under the name uncultured bacterium. RNAcentral describes it as "partial 16S ribosomal RNA". It matches the Rfam family "Bacterial small subunit ribosomal RNA", at positions 28 to 523 of the family's 1533-position model. The record is from RNAcentral.